This 1319-nucleotide ribosomal RNA is filed under the name uncultured eukaryote. RNAcentral's name for it is "SSU rRNA". It matches the Rfam family "Eukaryotic small subunit ribosomal RNA", at positions 446 to 1799 of the family's 1831-position model. The record is from RNAcentral.
CUAUCCUGACUCGAGUAGGUAAUGACAAGAAAUAUCAUUAUAAUACUUUAAUGUCUUGUCUUUGGGAUGAGAUAAACAUAACCCGCUUCUCUACUAUCAUUUGAAGUGCAAGUCUGGUGUCAGGACCCGCGCCAAUUCCAGUUCCGAUACCGUAUAUUAUAUUUGUUGUGUUUAAAACGCUCGUAUUUGAAUAUCUGCUAUGGUAUUCCGGUCCUUCCCUUCGAAGAAUACACGAAACUCUUCUUGUCUUUUAUUCUAGUAAGGUGUUUGCACUUUGCUGUGUGGCGCAUGAUCUGAAUUUUUACUUUGAUUAGAUGAGAUUGUUUCGAGCCGGGUUUCGUCGCGACUAUGAUAUCAUGGAAUAAUAUCACAGGACCCCUUUCCUUAGCUGUUGUGUUUUGUAACGAGGUAAUCAAAAUAAAGAUAGGUGGGGUGAUUCGAAUUUAACUGUCAUAGGUGAAAUUCUUGUAUUUUUUAUAGACGAGAUAUUGUAAAGGCAUCUGCCCAGGAUGUUAUUAUUGAUCUGGAACGAAAGUUAGGGGAUCGAAGACGAUCAGAUACCGUCCUAGUCUUAACCUUAAACUAUGCCGGCUGGAGAUUGGAGUUGUCAGAAUUGUGACAUCUUCAGCAUCCUGAGAGAAAUCGAAGUCUUUGGGUUCCGGGGGGAGUAUGGUCGCAAGGCUGAAACUUAAAGGAAUUGACGGAAGGGCACCACCAGGAGUGGAGCCUGCGGCUUAAUUUGACUCAACACGGGGAAACUCACCAGGUCCAGACAUAGAUAGGAUUGACAGACUGAUAGCUCUUUCUUAAUUCUAUGGGUGGUGGUGCAUGGCCGUUCUUAGUUGGUGGAGUGAUUUGUCUGGUUAAUUCCGUUAACGAACGAGACCUUAACCUGCUAAAUAGUUUCCAGAACUUCGGUUCUCGGGUUACUUCUUAGAGGGACUCUGUGUGUUUAACACAAGGAAGUUUGAGGCAAUAACAGGUCUGUGAUGCCCUUAGAUGUCCUGGGCUGCACGCGCGCUACACUGAUGUGUUCAAUAAGCACCUAACCUACUCCGAAGGGACUGGGUAACCUUUGCAAAGCACAUCGUGAUGGGGAUAGAUUAUUGCAAUUAUUAGUCUUGAACGAGGAAUUCCUAGUAAGCGCAAGUCAUCAGCUUGUGUUGAUUACGUCCCUGCCCUUUGUACACACCGCCCGCCGCUCCUACCGAUUGAGUGAUCCGGUGAAUACUUCGGAGUGCAGACUCUACAGUUUCUGUUUUGUUUGCGCAAAGUUGAAUAAACCUUAUCACUUAGAGGAAGGAGAAGUCGUAACAAGG